Molecule: long non-coding RNA, 533 nt
Filed under: Capsicum annuum
Lineage: Eukaryota; Viridiplantae; Streptophyta; Magnoliopsida; Solanales; Solanaceae
Description: long non-coding RNA (CANN_LNC006918)
Source: RNAcentral
CAAGAUAUACACAAUAAUAUUUAGUGAUAUACAUGUGACACACAUAUAAUAUAUCAGUAGUAUAUUAUUUGUCAGUCGCUUGAAUAUCGUAACACACAUAUACAACAGAUUGUUCUUCAACACUUCUUCAGCUAUGUCUCCACUAAAUGUUUUGAAACUUUAUCCACAGCUUAAAAAUUAUAAUUUCCAAUCAUCAAUUUCAGCAAACAACAGCAAAUUCAACAAAAUCCAUUUUAUGUUCCUCAAGUUCUCUCAAAAUUUAGCAAUCAAGUUUUUUGAGUUUCUCACUGAGGAAAUUCAAUCAAUCCAAUCAGUGUUUAGACAUUAAGGUGUCGUUUGGUUGGGAAUGUAGUUAUGUUGGGAUUAGUUAUGUUGAGAUAAGUUAUACUUAAAUUAGUUAUGAUGGGAUUAUUUUUUAUUGAGUGUUUGAUUUAUUGUAUUUAAAGUAAUAUGCAUGAUAUAAUUUCUAAGAAUAAAUUAAUUGAUUACCAAAAUACCCCAUUUUUUUUUUUUAAUAUAUAUUUCGUUUCAAG